RNAcentral lists this ribosomal RNA (385 nucleotides) under Yersinia ruckeri. RNAcentral's name for it is "bacterial SSU rRNA". It matches the Rfam family "Bacterial small subunit ribosomal RNA", at positions 63 to 451 of the family's 1533-position model. Lineage: Bacteria; Pseudomonadati; Pseudomonadota; Gammaproteobacteria; Enterobacterales; Yersiniaceae. The record is from RNAcentral.
UUAGCGGAAAGUAGCUUGCUACUUUGCCGGCGAGCGGCGGACGGGUGAGUAAUGUCUGGGGAUCUGCCUGAUGGAGGGGGAUAACUACUGGAAACGGUAGCUAAUACCGCAUAACCUCGCAAGAGCAAAGUGGGGGACCUUCGGGCCUCACGCCAUCGGAUGAACCCAGAUGGGAUUAGCUAGUAGGUGGGGUAAUGGCUCACCUAGGCGACGAUCCCUAGCUGGUCUGAGAGGAUGACCAGCCACACUGGAACUGAGACACGGUCCAGACUCCUACGGGAGGCAGCAGUGGGGAAUAUUGCACAAUGGGCGCAAGCCUGAUGCAGCCAUGCCGCGUGUGUGAAGAAGGCCUUCGGGUGUAAAGCACCUACAUGCCAAAAAACCA